CACAAUCACAAUUUCCCCCAAUUCGCAAACCCUAGUUCCUUCGCGGCGUCAAUCUCCGCCGUCAGGCUGCCUCACCGCCUCUGAACCUCCGUCGCUGGCUUCGCGACGGUGUUCCUCCGUCUCCGGCGAGGGACGAUCGGUAUCAAGAAGAUCUCUCUCUUUCACUCGGUUGCAUCGCCGCUGUCGCGACACCCCGUCGUCGCCGCCUCUGUACCGGUUUCGGCGAGUGGCUGCCGCUGCAUGUUCGCGGUGGUGGAGACGCUGAUCGCGCUGUCCGUCGUCGUCGCGCAUCACCGGGAUUCGGCAGGUUUCCCCGUCGGGACUGAGGAGGUGUCGCAUAUUCCGUGCAGCUCUGCCGCUGACGCUUCCGACUGUGGCAACGCAGUUGGGUCCGCUUAGCAGACCAGCCCCGCCGCCGCUGCUGACCGCUCGCGUAGACGGCUUCAGUUAGCCUUCCGUCGAGCUGCGGGUCCUUUCCGCGGUCAUCUCCGUCGGUGCCCAGUACCAGGGCCUCUCAACACUCAAGCUAAGCCUUCUAUCUUAGCCUAUUUGGUUGACCUCUUUAGGGUAGAGUUUGUUCUUACUUCAUGGUUUGAGAAUUGGGCAGAUUGUGUCUGUUCUUCAAAGGAUAUGCAUAUACUUUGUGUUGUGAUACUCUAUGUCUAGCAUGUUGUGCUUAAGUUUCUGAAACUAUGGGGUUUUCAGCAUGUUUGUGAUGUCUACAUGAUGCUAUAAUUCACAUGAGCUUAGGCCUUGGUUGUUGGAUGGAUUACCUGAGAGGUUUGCGGUUGGGUUGUACACGGCCCUUAGUCUCUGCCUCUCGGUUCCAGCCCUCUGUCUCAGCCUCUCCUUCCCAUUGGUUUCACUGGAAUUUCAAUGAUUUUCUUGGUGGUGGAGGAAACAAGGGCUGAGGCUAUGCUCUAUAUAUAAUGGUGUGUAACUGAAAGCUGCAAGAUGGUUGUUUUGGUUGCAGAGACAGACAGAGUGUCCUUGGCCUGGGUGGUGUGGCUGUCCCUUAACCGCAUCUGGCACUUUAUGAGUGCUUUAGUACUUAGUCCAUUUUAGGUUUUGUUGGUUUAUGGCAGGUACACCACAAUUGACUGAUCUUCCUGGCAAUGGCAGGUAUAAAUGGAGGGUACAAGCUGCAAAUCUCAGCUUUGUAGAGUGCAGCUGAUGGGGUGGAAUGUUGUUGGCUGGACUUGCUUCUUUCGGCCCAGCUCUUUCUCAUUUCUCUGAAAGGAGCUGGGGCUGGUUCCACAAGGCUCUUUUCCUAACGUCCCAGCCCAUCGGACCUCUCCGGUCUUGGGCCGAGACGGCUCGCGCAGAAGAUCCAUGAAGUUCUCUAGGAACUCUUGAUUGUAAUAGAGUAGCUCGAUUUCAGUUUUCUUUCCUUUUCUUUAUCUCAACAUGUAUGUAGUAAUGUAGAGUCUAUUGAAAUUAAUGUAUUUCUUUUCCUUUA
Salvia splendens (bonfire salvia) is the source of this 1459-nucleotide long non-coding RNA. RefSeq lists it as uncharacterized. Lineage: Eukaryota; Viridiplantae; Streptophyta; Magnoliopsida; Lamiales; Lamiaceae. The transcript has 2 exons. The record is from RefSeq and is a predicted model, not a curated record.